This 133-nucleotide ribosomal RNA is filed under the name Chinchilla lanigera (long-tailed chinchilla). Lineage: Eukaryota; Metazoa; Chordata; Mammalia; Rodentia; Chinchillidae. The record is from RNAcentral.
GUAAAUCUUAUACCACCCUGAACACACCCAAUCUCAUCUAAUCUCUGGAGCUAAGCAGGGUCGGGCCUGGUUUGUACUUGGAUGGGAGAAAAAAUAAAUCUUAAACUGGAAUGAUAUUGGAAUAUCAUUUACA